RNAcentral lists this unclassified non-coding RNA (568 nucleotides) under Monodictys castaneae. RNAcentral describes it as "sequence contains 18S rRNA gene, ITS1, 5.8S rRNA gene, ITS2, 28S rRNA gene". The stretch from base 198 to 351 matches the Rfam family "5.8S ribosomal RNA". The record is from RNAcentral. Lineage: Eukaryota; Fungi; Ascomycota; Dothideomycetes; Pleosporales.
UGGAAGUAAAAGUCGUAACAAGGUUUCCGUAGGUGAACCUGCGGAAGGAUCAUUAUCGUGGGGCUCCGGCCCCGUCGAGAUAGAACCCUUGCCUUUUCGAGUACCGUCCGUUUCCUCGGCAGGCCCGCCUGCCAACGGGGACCCCAAACAAACUCUUUUAUGUACCUGUACCCGUCUGAACAACAAACAAAAGUUAAAACUUUCAACAACGGAUCUCUUGGUUCUGGCAUCGAUGAAGAACGCAGCGAAAUGCGAUAAGUAGUGUGAAUUGCAGAAUUCAGUGAAUCAUCGAAUCUUUGAACGCACAUUGCGCCCUUUGGUAUUCCUUAGGGCAUGCCUGUUCGAGCGUCAUUGAAAACCUCAAGCUCGGCUUGGUGUUGGGCGCCUGUCCCCGCCCCCCGCGGGGACUCGCCUUAAAAUCAUUGGCGGCCGGUACAUUGGCUUCGAGCGCAGCAGAAACGCGAACUCGGGCCCGGUGGAUCGGCUCCCAGAAGCAACCCCUUCUCAGUGUGACCUCGGAUCAGGUAGGGAUACCCGCUGAACUUAAGCAUAUCAAUAAGCGGAGGAA